CAGCCGCCGCGGUAAUACCGGCGGCCCGAGUGGCGGUCACUAUUAUUGGGCUUAAAGCGUCCGUAGCCGGGUUGGGAAGUCCUCCGGGAAAUCUGGCCGCUUAACGGUCAGAAUGCCGGAGGAAACUCCCAGCCUAGGGAGCGGGGGAGGCCGAGGGGAUUCCCGGAGUAGGGGUGAAAUCCUAUAAUCCCGGGAGGACCACCUGUGGCGAAGGCGCUCGGCUGGAACGCGUCCGACGGUGAGGGACGAAGGCCAGGGGAGCAAACCGGAUUAGAUACCCGGGUAGUCCUGGCUGUAAACGAUGCGGACUUUGUGUCGGACAAGCUAUGAGCUUGUCCGGUGCCGGAGGGAAACCGUUAAGUCCGCCGCCUGGGGAGUACGGCCGCAAGGCUGAAACUUAAAGGAAUUGGCGGG
This 414-nucleotide ribosomal RNA is filed under the name uncultured microorganism. RNAcentral describes it as "bacterial SSU rRNA". It matches the Rfam family "Archaeal small subunit ribosomal RNA", at positions 459 to 872 of the family's 1478-position model. The record is from RNAcentral.